ACAUGCAGUCGAGCGAACUGAUUAGAAGCUUGCUUCUAUGACGUUAGCGGCGGACGGGUGAGUAACACGUGGGCAACCUGCCUGUAAGACUGGGAUAACUUCGGGAAACCGAAGCUAAUACCGGAUAGGAUCUUCUCCUUCAUGGGAGAUGAUUGAAAGAUGGUUUCGGCUAUCACUUACAGAUGGGCCCGCGGUGCAUUAGCUAGUUGGUGAGGUAACGGCUCACCAAGGCAACGAUGCAUAGCCGACCUGAGAGGGUGAUCGGCCACACUGGGACUGAGACACGGCCCAGACUCCUACGGGAGGCAGCAGUAGGGAAUCUUCCGCAAUGGACGAAAGUCUGACGGAGCAACGCCGCGUGAGUGAUGAAGGCUUUCGGGUCGUAAAACUCUGUUGUUAGGGAAGAACAAGUACGAGAGUAACUGCUCGUACCUUGACGGUACCUAACCAGAAAGCCACGGCUAACUACGUGCCAGCAGCCGCGGUAAUACGUAGGUGGCAAGCGUUAUCCUGAAUUAUUGGGCGUAAAGCGCGCGCAGGCGGUUUCUUAAGUCUGAUGUGAAAGCCCACGGCUCAACCGU
RNAcentral lists this ribosomal RNA (581 nucleotides) under Priestia aryabhattai. RNAcentral's name for it is "bacterial SSU rRNA". It matches the Rfam family "Bacterial small subunit ribosomal RNA", at positions 53 to 616 of the family's 1533-position model. The record is from RNAcentral. Lineage: Bacteria; Bacillati; Bacillota; Bacilli; Caryophanales; Bacillaceae.